Molecule: ribosomal RNA, 497 nt
Filed under: uncultured bacterium
Lineage: Bacteria
Description: partial 16S ribosomal RNA
Rfam family: Bacterial small subunit ribosomal RNA
Source: RNAcentral
GAUGAACGCUGGCGGCGUGCCUAAUACAUGCAAGUCGAGCGAACAGACGAGGAGCUUGCUCCUCUGACGUUAGCGGCGGACGGGUGAGUAACACGUGGAUAACCUACCUAUAAGACUGGGAUAACUUCGGGAAACCGGAGCUAAUACCGGAUAAUAUAUUGAACCGCAUGGUUCAAUAGUGAAAGACGGUUUUGCUGUCACUUAUAGAUGGAUCCGCGCCGCAUUAGCUAGUUGGUAAGGUAACGGCUUACCAAGGCGACGAUGCGUAGCCGACCUGAGAGGGUGAUCGGCCACACUGGAACUGAGACACGGUCCAGACUCCUACGGGAGGCAGCAGUAGGGAAUCUUCCGCAAUGGGCGAAAGCUUGACGGAGCAACGCCGCGUGAGUGGUGAAGGUCUUCGGAUCGUAAAACUCUGUUAUUAGGGAAGAACAAAUGUGUAAGUAACUAUGCACGUCUUGACGGUACCUAAUCAGAAAGCCACGGCUAACUACGUG